RNAcentral lists this ribosomal RNA (497 nucleotides) under uncultured bacterium. RNAcentral describes it as "partial 16S ribosomal RNA". It matches the Rfam family "Bacterial small subunit ribosomal RNA", at positions 28 to 507 of the family's 1533-position model. The record is from RNAcentral.
GAUGAACGCUGGCGGCGUGCCUAAUACAUGCAAGUCGAGCGAACAGACUAGGAGCUUGCUCCUCUUACGUUAGCGGCGGACGGGUUAGUAACACGUGGAUAACCUACCUAUCAGACUGUGAUAACUUCGGGAAACCGGAGCUUAUACCGUUUAAUAUAUUUAACCGUAUUGUUCGAUAGUGAAAGACGGUUUUGCUGUCACUUCUUGCUUGAUCCUCGCAGAAUUAGCUAGUUGUUAAGGUAACGGCUUAACAAGGCGACGAUGCGUAGCCGACCUGAGAGGGUGAUCGGACACACUGGAACUGAGACACGGUACAGACGCCUACGGGAGGCAGCAGUAGGGAAUCGUCGGCAAUGGGCGAAAGCAUGACGGAGAAACGCAGCGUGAGUGAUGAAGGUCUUCGGAUCGUAAAACUCUGUUAUUAGGGAAGAACAAAUGUGAAAGUAACUAUGGACGUCGUGACGGUACCGAAUCAGAAAGCCACGGCUAACUACGUG